CCUACGGGAGGCAGCAGUGAGGAAUAUUGGUCAAUGGAGGCAACUCUGAACCAGCCAUGCCGCGUGCAGGAAGAAUGCCCUCUGGGUUGUAAACUGCUUUUAUUGGGGAAGAAACCCCCGCUCGUGAGCGGGGCUGACGGUACCCAAGGAAUAAGGACCGGCUAACUCCGUGCCAGCAGCCGCGGUAAUACGGAGGGUCCAAGCGUUAUCCGGAAUCAUUGGGUUUAAAGGGUGCGCAGGCGGUACUGUAAGUCAGUGGUGAAAUCUCUCGGCUCAACCGAGAAACUGCCAUUGAUACUGCAGUACUUGAAUACAGUUGGAGUAGGCGGAAUGUGUAGUGUAGCGGUGAAAUGCUUAGAUAUUACACAGAACACCGAUAGCGAAGGCAGCUUACUAAACUGAGAUUGACGCUCAUGCACGAAAGCGUGGGGAGCGAACAG
RNAcentral lists this ribosomal RNA (440 nucleotides) under uncultured bacterium. RNAcentral describes it as "bacterial SSU rRNA". It matches the Rfam family "Bacterial small subunit ribosomal RNA", at positions 338 to 775 of the family's 1533-position model. The record is from RNAcentral.